Unclassified non-coding RNA from Callithrix jacchus (white-tufted-ear marmoset), 117 nucleotides. It matches the Rfam family "Metazoan signal recognition particle RNA". From Rfam's summary of the family: The signal recognition particle (SRP) is a universally conserved ribonucleoprotein. It is involved in the co-translational targeting of proteins to membranes. NCBI's taxonomy places the organism in Eukaryota, Metazoa, Chordata, Mammalia, Primates, Cebidae. The record is from Ensembl.
GCUGGGCGUGGUGGCUCACGCCUGUAAUCCCAGCACUUUGGGAGGCCGAGGCAGGCGAAUCACCUGAGGUCGGGAGUUUGAGAGCAGCCUGACCGAUAUGGUGAAACCCUGUCUCUU